RNAcentral lists this ribosomal RNA (202 nucleotides) under uncultured bacterium. RNAcentral's name for it is "partial 16S ribosomal RNA". It matches the Rfam family "Bacterial small subunit ribosomal RNA", at positions 524 to 723 of the family's 1533-position model. The record is from RNAcentral.
UACGUAGGGGGCAAGCGUUGUCCGGAAUCAUUGGGCGUAAAGAGCGCGUAGGCGGUCCGGUAAGUCCGCUCUGAAAGUCCGGGGGCUCAACCCCGGGAGGCGGGCGGAUACUGUCGGGCUAGAGUCCGGAAGAGGCGAGUGGAAUUCCUGGUGUAGCGGUGAAAUGCGCAGAUAUCAGGAAGGAACACCCAUGGCGAAGGCG